CCUACGGGCGACAGCAGUGAGGAAUAUUGGUCAAUGGACGAGAGUCUGAACCAGCCAAGUAGCGUGCAGGAUGACUGCCCUAUGGGUUGUAAACUUCUUUUGUAUGGGGAUAAAACGCUCCACGUGUGGGAUUUUGUAUGUACCAUACGAAUAAGGAUCGGCUAACUCCGUGCCAGCAGCCGCGGUAAUACGGAGGAUCCGAGCGUUAUCCGGAUUUAUUGGGUUUAAAGGGAGCGUAGGUGGAUUGUUAAGUCAGUUGUGAAAGGUUGGGGCUCAACCGUAAAAUUGCAGUUGAAACUGGCAGUCUUGAGUACAGUAGAGGUAGGCGGAAUUCGUGGUGUAGCGGUGAAAUGCUUAGAUAUCACGAGGAACUCCGAUUGCGAAGGCAGCUCACUGGACUGCGACUGACACUGAGGCUCGAAAGUGUGGGUAUCAAACAGGAUUAGAUACCCGUGUAGUC
This 460-nucleotide ribosomal RNA is filed under the name uncultured bacterium. RNAcentral's name for it is "partial 16S ribosomal RNA". It matches the Rfam family "Bacterial small subunit ribosomal RNA", at positions 338 to 795 of the family's 1533-position model. The record is from RNAcentral.